Molecule: ribosomal RNA, 370 nt
Filed under: uncultured organism
Description: bacterial SSU rRNA
Rfam family: Bacterial small subunit ribosomal RNA
Source: RNAcentral
CGAAGGGGGCUAGCGUUGCUCGGAAUUACUGGGCGUAAAGGGAGCGUAGGCGGACAGUUAAGUCAGAGGUGAAAGCCCAGGGCUCAACCCUGGAAUUGCCUUUGAUACUGAUUGUCUUGAGUAUGGGAGAGGUGUGCGGAACUCCGAGUGUAGAGGUGAAAUUCGUAGAUAUUCGGAAGAACACCAGUGGCGAAGGCGGCACACUGGCCCAUUACUGACGCUGAGGCUCGAAAGCGUGGGGAGCAAACAGGAUUAGAUACCCUGGUAGUCCACGCCGUAAACGAUGAGUGCUAGUUGUCGGCAUGCAUGCAUGUCGGUGACGCAGCUAACGCAUUAAGCACUCCGCCUGGGGAGUACGGUCGCAAGAUUA